Molecule: ribosomal RNA, 253 nt
Filed under: uncultured bacterium
Lineage: Bacteria
Description: partial 16S ribosomal RNA
Rfam family: Bacterial small subunit ribosomal RNA
Source: RNAcentral
UACGUAGGGGGCUAGCGUUGUCCGGAAUCAUUGGGCGUAAAGCGCGUGUAGGCGGCCCGGUAAGUCCGCUGUGAAAGUCGGGGGCUCAACCCUCGAAAGCCGGUGGAUACUGUCGGGCUCGAGUGCGGAAGAGGCGAGUGGAAUUCCUGGUGUAGCGGUGAAAUGCGCAGAUAUCGGGAGGAACACCUAUGGCGAAGGCAGCUCGCUGGGACGUUACUGACGCUGAGACGCGAAAGCGUGGGGAGCAAACAGG